UUUUUUAGUCUGCCAUGAUCUUUUCCAACCCUCACUGCACAAUGAAAGCCACAACCUUUUUUUUUCUCUCCCUUUUCUUAUAGUUCGAAGCACUCUACCUGAAACUGAAUAGGAGGCCCUCAAGUGCUUUCCAGAAGAGGCCGUUGAUUGAGACUAAGGGGAAAAAGCUGAAUAGUCAAAGAGGGCAGACAGGCAAAGGAAAGCACUAGCAGUACUGAGCACAUUGUACCAACGGCUUGAUCACUGCCCAUGUGAGCAGAUUUCAAGAGACAAAGAUGUGUUCGGAAAGACGUUACAGCUUCUCAGUUGAACAGUGUCAAGUGGAGCAUGUGAGGAAACGCUGUAUCUAUUGUAUGCCAUGGUUUGACAAGUACUGUAUAUCAGCCCACAUGCAGCAUCCGGCACCAUAUCAGCGAACAGCAUUGUGAUUUAAGGUGAACCGUGGGGCUGAGAAGGAGACCAAGAAUAACAACGAACAUCAAGGGAGCUGUUUCAGGUAAGAAUGAAUAAGCCUUGUUUGGUAGUCCAAUUCACUGGAUUAGUAUAGAUUUGUUUGAAAUACUGUUGUCACUACUAAAUUCAGUCAGGACAUUUUGAAUGUACAGUAACACAUUUAAGUAAUAUUUAGGAACAAGUAAUAGGUUUAUUCUAUGCUGAAAAAAAGAAGAGAGA
This 672-nucleotide long non-coding RNA is filed under the name Lepisosteus oculatus (spotted gar). Its description in RNAcentral is "lncRNA (ENSLOCG00000021637.1)". The record is from RNAcentral. Lineage: Eukaryota; Metazoa; Chordata; Actinopteri; Semionotiformes; Lepisosteidae.